GUGUUUCUAUCCAAAAAUCUUUCUUCAGAAUGGAGGAGAUGAUGCGUGGGGCAGAGAGGAUGGAGGGAGUUAGCUGUAUUGGGAGAUAAGAUAAACAAGUUUACUGGUAUGAUAGAAGACUUCAUAUGGUCUCCGAAGGCUGGUGAUUCCCAUGACCAACAAGAUGACUGGGCAUUUGAAGAGAUUUGUUGAUUGACCUUCAUAAAUUGCUCACAAUUUUCUAUCUCAAGAUUUCCUCUUUGAAAAGAAGAAAACUACAGGGAUUGGAGAUUGAUUAUGUCAGAGAUGAUGAUGGAUGGAUUGAAUCGGAGGGUCAACUCGGUUCAUCACAGUUAUGAAACAGUAAUUUUAUUUCACUUUUUAAUUUUAACUUUUAAAAAAUAUUUUCACACAUUUAUGCACUGAAAAGAUUGACCUUUAUUGUGCUAUUUUAGUUUAGUUUUGAGUAGUUAUUUGAUCUUUAGAAAUUUGGUUAAUGAUGCUAGGGAUGGUAUAACCAUGAAGAUAAAAGCUAAAGUUUCUAAAUUUCGUCAAUGAUUGGUUGUCACUCAAGUGACUGACUCAUGAAUAUAUGUUAUAUUUAAUGUUUUGUUGCUGUAUUGUUUUACUAGGCCAUUAUGUGUGAGUUGUUGGAGUAGUAUUAUUAUAUUUACACCAUACAAUAUUGUUAGGCAUCUAUUUUUCAAAUGUAACUCAUUUGAAGUUCUUCAUAGUUGCUGGCUGUAGAAAUCAGUUUGUAUAAAAAUAAAAUUGAGAUCAAACAACAUUAAGGAAUUGUGACUUAAUUACAUGUAAAAGCAACAUAUUGCUCUAUCCAUUAUCUCACGAAUUUAAUCAAUUUAUUACUUAUAGUUGAAACCUCAAAUAAUGUUUUUUGUUAUUUUUCGAAGGUGUUUCCCCUUUCAAAAUUG
Molecule: long non-coding RNA, 911 nt
Organism: Asparagus officinalis (garden asparagus)
Lineage: Eukaryota; Viridiplantae; Streptophyta; Magnoliopsida; Asparagales; Asparagaceae
Exons: 4
Source: RefSeq, a predicted model, not a curated record